RNAcentral lists this transfer RNA (75 nucleotides) under Candidatus Roizmanbacteria bacterium RIFCSPHIGHO2_12_FULL_38_13. RNAcentral's name for it is "tRNA-Ile". It matches the Rfam family "tRNA". From Rfam's summary of the family: Transfer RNA (tRNA) molecules are approximately 80 nucleotides in length. Their secondary structure includes four short double-helical elements and three loops (D, anti-codon, and T loops). Lineage: Bacteria; Candidatus Roizmaniibacteriota. The record is from RNAcentral. RNAcentral also lists the same sequence under 1 other name.
GCGCACGUGGUUCAGUGGUAGAACGCCUUCCUGAUAAGAAGGAGGUCGAUGGUUCAAUUCCAUCCGUGCGCACGA